CUGGUAUGAAUGGAUUUACGUAAAAACUCUGUCUCAAUUUAAUUUUUGAAAAAUUUUUUAAAAGGUGAAAAAACCUUUAACUUAAAAAAGACGAGAAGACCCUAAGAAUUUUUUAAUAGAGGAGAAUAAUUCUUCUUUUUUGGCUGGGGCGGCGAUGGACCAAUAAACAUCCAGUUAUAUCGAAACAGUUCUUUAAAAAUAAAUUACCUUAGGGAUAACAGCACUAUUAUGACCUCGAUGUUGGACUACGAA
Molecule: ribosomal RNA, 252 nt
Filed under: Veronicellidae sp. n. 3 NB-2014
Lineage: Eukaryota; Metazoa; Mollusca; Gastropoda; Systellommatophora; Veronicellidae
Description: partial 16S ribosomal RNA
Source: RNAcentral